UUUUUUGGACCAGAUACCCCAUCUUUGGACUUUUCACCUUCGGAAUCAGUCUUUACUCUCUCAUUGGGAUUGAUGGUUCCACCUCGAACAAAAGCCUUAGACCCAGGUGUGUUGUCCCCUUGAAAUGACUCCACAAACUCAGCAUACAAUCGGGCUGUUUCAUCAUCCUCUCUCUUCUUCUUUGCUUCUUCCUCCUCUCUAUGCUUCUGGAAAGGUGUCUUUUUGCG
This 227-nucleotide unclassified non-coding RNA is filed under the name Hevea brasiliensis (rubber tree). The record is from RNAcentral. Lineage: Eukaryota; Viridiplantae; Streptophyta; Magnoliopsida; Malpighiales; Euphorbiaceae.